CCCACCAUUCACGCUAAGAGGUUGGCCGUCGCUCUUGUAACACUCCAAGGUUUAAAAUGUAGGGAAUAUUAUGUGAUAUGGCAUGGAUUCGAACCUGACUCGUCGUCUUCGAAAUUCAAAGCUCUUUCACAAAAUCAACCCGUACUUGUAAAUAAUGCUUUUUGUUUAGCUCAUUUUAUAGACGUAGAAACAGAACUAUGGACUUCAUGAAUAGAUCGAUUCAUGUAGGAAUACCACGGGUUUUGUCAAAGCCUGAAAAACUGGAUGUGGUAGUUUUUCCAUCUUGUUGUUUUCGAGGACAGGAAUCGCCGCAGGGAGGUUUCCUAGGGAACGUCUUCCAUGUCAGUGAAACAGCAAAGCAAUUUCAUUCGGUUAAUAAAGACAUCAACCAUCUAUUGAGAAGAUAACAAAUGAAUGGUCACCUUGAGAACGUAGCAGCGUGAUAAUAAAAGAGGAAUACAUGGCACGAGGCAAAAAGAUCUCCCGCCCAAUCCUGUUUGGUCUUUUCAAAGUAAAGAACUCUGUUAGGCAGAGGUGUGCAGGUGCAUCUCAAAUAAGUGGCAUAUUUCCAUCUCUGCUUGAAGUAUUUCACUAAUAUUUAAACAAAUGCAAUUACAAAGUACAAGGUCAUUUGCAUUCUAUGUGAACUUUACACGGUAACAAUGUGACUUCGACAGUGAAUAAUGAUAUUUUGUCUCACAUGUUUUACAUUACUAUGAUGGCUUAGAUUUUACAGAACGAAUUACAGCGUGUUCAAAAACAAAAUUAGCAUCCUUUCAAAUAAGAAUAUAUGUUUUUACUCUCAGUGAUGGGCCUGGCUUAGCUUAAAAUUUAACAUGCAUGAACUAUAAACCCGAGGAUUCCUGCUCCGGGUCUUCUCGUUGCCGCUAAAACGUGGUCGAGACUUUGGGUUUGUGGGUGCGCUAUAAAUGUAAAGGUCAACUAUCACUAUAUGGUCAGACAAGAGUAGCCUAAGAGAUGGCGGUGGGUGCUGUUGGCUAGCUACCUUCCUUCUAGUUUGUGCUAACUUUAAUAUUGAUUUUGCACAUAUAAUAAGAUUAUACAUUGGAGCAGCAUUUCUAUGCACAAGUAUAUUAUUUUUACACUUCGACUUGUUUCUUUAGUAAAGAAUUAGAGAGGCAUAAACAACAUAAAUAGUGGAGUUUCUAGCUAAAGUAUGAAAACACUAUUGACGGCCAUGCACACGUGGGUUUUCGUAUAUAUAUCAGUAUGUACAAUUAAGAACAUCAAUAUGAAUUUCAGCAGUGAAUGACUAUCUCAUUGUGAAAGUAA
Long non-coding RNA from Limulus polyphemus (Atlantic horseshoe crab), 1293 nucleotides. RefSeq lists it as uncharacterized. The transcript has 3 exons. The record is from RefSeq and is a predicted model, not a curated record. NCBI's taxonomy places the organism in Eukaryota, Metazoa, Arthropoda, Merostomata, Xiphosura, Limulidae.